Molecule: long non-coding RNA, 3854 nt
Organism: Cyprinodon tularosa
Lineage: Eukaryota; Metazoa; Chordata; Actinopteri; Cyprinodontiformes; Cyprinodontidae
Exons: 7
Source: RefSeq, a predicted model, not a curated record
CAAGGUGCAUAUGUGUGUGUUGUCGGGAGCAUUAAGCCUUUCCCGUAUCGUGCCGCUACUCCCUGGUGGAGAGAGAGGCCUUCUCACUCUUCUUCCUGGCCUGGACUUAGAGCUGACCAACACAAAGCUCAGACCAGUGCUGAUGCUGUGCUGGAGAAAGAGUGGGAACAAGCAGGACUGAGUAAGUAAAGAGAAAAUCCAAUGCUAGCUAAAGGAGAAGAGAGCAGAUUAAUUGAGAUAACUACAGUCUGUUGAAUGGUGUGCUUCAAAUCUUGCAAGAUAAUCAAAUCCAGCUUCUCCCAUUACUUCAAGCUGUGAGAGGUCUUCCAACGAAGAAGCCAAAUCACCCGAGGUGGUGUGAAUUUUGACAUCAUGAAAUUGGGAUACCCAAACAGGGAGAGGUGCCAUUGUGGUACCAUCUUAGUUAAUGGCCUACUGGACUUCUCUGGAUCCUGCCUAUCAAGUCAUAUAUAUCUAAGGGAUUGCGAGGCAGCUGUGUAAUCAAGCCUGUGAACUCUACAUCUAAAAGGAGGUUUCUCUUCUGAACACAGUCCUACUGAAGUCCAUCCAUUUCCAGAACAUGGGUUUCCUCCACUGCUCUCGGCCACAGCUCCACUUGUCUCACCAGCAUCUUCUUGAUUCUGGCUGUCACCUAGCAAAACAGCAGCAGCCUACAGCAGCCAGAACACUGAAGCCAUCAAGCCAUUAGUGAGUCCCAGCGCUGAUAAUGAAACCUCGGAGGUGGUCUGAACCAGUGUGGUAGCGGAGCUGGAGCACAAGAGGAAGGUGUCACCCACAUCCUUGGCUGGUGUUUAUUUGUUGUGUGUACAGCUUUGGUUUAGGACCUCACACAUACUACACAGAUGCCUAAAACAUCACCGCUCUCACUUUGAAGAUCCUAUGAGGUCAGGUUUUAAAUUAUGGUCUGAACCCACACCAGGUAUUCCCACUGCACUCCUGUAAAUCCAUUUUUCACACAAUGCAUUUCAAAUCAAAGCAACGUCACCGUAACACGCCUUAGGAAACAUUAAGCCAUAGUGGGCUACUUUCAUGUAAGAUAGCAUAGCCUCUGUAUGCUUUGAUGUGCUCUCUUUUUUAAUGCUUUAUUAAUAAUAACACACUGGCUUCUUCUCACAUCACCACCAGCUUCUGGGACUGCUUUUUCUCCGUCUGAACCACAUCCCUCACCCCAUCCAAGCCACGACUGCUUUAUCCCUCCCUAGCCCCUCAGCUCUUUCACAGGAUUGGCCUGUUUGUGUUCAGGAGGGGGAUUAUAGGGAACAGCAAGGGUCUUGAGAUGAAGGGAAUGACGGAGGCCUAUCAGAGGGCAGGAAGUACACAACACUUCCACGUCAUUGGCUGCGGAGGAAAUCAAACACAUCAUAAUUUCUUCAAACCGUUCCUUCUCUGAGUGUCAAGCUUUUAUUUCCUUGCCUAAAGAGAAGGAGUGUUGAAGGGUUGGGGAGGUGGAUCGGAAUUGGAGUGACUGUCAGUGAGUUUAAGUGUGUUCUGGCUCCUGUUUACAGGUUCGUAAACACAGAUGUAACCGGCGAUGAACAUGUAGACACUGAUAGCGCUCACCUCCUCCGCUUGUGGCCAAAAUACAAGGCAGCCUUCACAUUUCUAGUGCUGUACAGGAUAAAAGAUAUGAAUGGGAUGUCUGAUUCAUGCAUGAAUUUAACAUUUUUCUCAAAUUCAUAUAUUUAUCCAUGCUGGGGUGACUUUAAAAUACGUGGCAAAAGAUCAUGAAAUGGGACACUCAGUGUGAAUAAUAUUAAAACAGUGGAUGGGUGUUUUACUAAUCCCAAAUUCCUUCUUUCUGGCCACCAGGUAUUAUAAUUAAUGGUAAAUCUAAAUAUUUACACAGAUAGCUCCUGUAUGCUGAUUUUUAAGCUUUUUUUUAUAUCUAAAGAAUGAUUUUAGAACUCCCUUUAUAAGCAGAGUUUAACAUUUCUAAAGGACAAUUCAUUGAAAUAAUGUCACUGUAGUCAGUUCUCUAUAUAAGGUAGUUGUAAGAAGCCCCUUUUCAUAUGUUAAACUACAGAUUAGAUUUGGUGCAAUUAAAGGUCCUAAGCUUUAUUCAUUAUAAUUUUUUGUUUUUGCUUCGACUUGAAAUAAAGGUUUUCAAGAAUUAGAAUGCGAAGAUUUCUUAAACAUUACCAACUUGAUCGAAGUAUCUUGUGUGAAAAUAAUAGUUUGGAGAGAGAGAGAGACUGGGAUGUUCUAUUCUUUUGGAAAUAAACUCCCUUUAGUUGUUUAGAUCCAUUUUGGUUGGACUAAUGUAACUAAUGUAAAAGGCAACAUGCAGAUUGACAAAUACUUUUCAUGGAACAUCAAAAAACUCAUAAACAUGAUGGUAGAGAGCUGAAUCAAGAACGUUCUGAACUGCAAUAUUUAUAUAAAAAGUAAAAUGUUUUUGGCCCGAACACACAACCCUAAUGUGUACUUUUUCUCAGAGCAGGAAAGACCACUGGCAAGGACAAACUGCAUAUAGAAGAAAAGAUAAUUGAAAAACAUAUUCUAUUCUCCGUCUGAAAGGGCUUUUUCGGAAACCUGAUUUAAAAUUUUAUUUUCACAUGCUUUUCACACAUGUAUAAAAUGUAAUACAGAUUCAGACAAAAAGAUGCAUACUGCUCUGUAUGUUUGUACAAACUAUGCUGUUAUCAAUAUUUGACAGCAGUAAGAAGUGCAAGUCCUUUACUAAAGCUAACCAAAUAAACAGGAGGCAUUCAGUUUACUUCGGCUUUAAAGUGACUCGGAGCUGUGGGCUCAAGCACCAGCCGACUUUCUCCUCUUUGUCCAUAAUAGAUCUGAGUGGUCUGAGGGUCCUCUGGGGGCACCUGGCUCUCUUCCCUGCCAUCGCUGGCUAAAUUGAUCGCUGAGGCCAUCUCUGUGCAGAGAUCAGGGGUCGGCUUCAAAGGCCUCCUGCCCACUUCCUGCCACCUGGUGUUCCAUAUCGGACAACCUGUAUGUUUCUUUCUCAGCCCCCACCCUUCGGUACCCUUCUACGAACAGGUUAAGGACAUGGAGCCAGUACAGCUCCUCCCUGUGAUCUCCUGCUGCCUCCUCCCAAGCCACCCACAUGCAGAGAGAGGGUGAGAGAUCAGUCCCACACAAACAUAGCAUAAUCACUCCACCAUUUGAUGUGAAAAUCUGCUUUUGAUUUAAUUAUAGCCUGCAAAUGCAUAACUGUCUACAAUGAAAAGAUUUGACAAUUUUUGGCCAGAGUUACAUUUUCUUCUCUAUGGUGCUGGUAGGUGUCAUAUGACCGUGACUCUCUUAUCUAGAAUGUUUUCCUUUCCAUGAGUACAUUCAACAAUUUCCUUAUUUCGGUUAAUAAAAUAAUGACAUCAAAAACAAAAAUUAUUCAUGGCAUGCAUUUUAAUCACAUUAUGAAAUGUGAACAUCUUCCCCACAUUUUAACAGAUCAAGUUAAGUAAAGCAAAUAACCCGUUUACACCAAUCACUCAUAAGAUUAUGAGCAAUGCCAGGUGGAGUGAGUAAUAUCUUGCUCUAACAGAAUGUUAAACAGCAGAGAAAACCAUUCAAAUACAUGCUAUUUUGACAUUUACCAAAGAAGUAAACAGUUUUGAAGACUAUUCAUUCCCCCCCCAACACAUCUCCUUCCCAGUGGGUCCUUUAAAAGCUGCUUACAAAAAUGGCUUAAAGAACAUGACAGCAGAUCUUAAGGGUUUACCGAGCUUCCAAAAUCCCCAGAUUCCAACCAGAUACAUUUGAUGGUAUCUAAUAGCAUCUGUAAGACAGCUUAAUCCAUAAGAAGUGCAUACCUUAACCCAGAGGUGUCAGGGAAGUAAAAAAAAAAAAAAAAAAAAUGCCACUGUCAAAUUUCAAAA